UCGGAAGUCACAGUCAGCCCCUAGGCUCCCUCAGGGUAGAGCACCUAGUGGGACCUGUGCUGGCUCCACCAGAUCCAGCAGCCUAUGUACUCCUCAGUGGAUCCCACCCUCGAGUUUUGCCUCCUAUUGAAAACGUCCCCUUUCCCUCCUCUCCAGUGUCUGUCCUCACUUCACCUAUCCCAAAGCCAAGACCCACUAAAUUUCCAAGACGUGGUUUAAAUAUCUUCAGGCACCUUUCCACUGUAUUUUGGGGCACACUCCUGCCAAAUCCACUCUUGUAAUCUACAGGGUGUGGGACUUUAGCUUUGGGAAUAUUCGCUCAUCCCACCCCUACUGGGGCACUGCCAAUGUCAGGAAGGAACCCAACCUUGGUGUUUUUUCCUUUGCUACACUCUAAAUGGAGGGGAUCCCCCACUUUUUUCACUGAAAUCCCCCCAAAAUAUGUCUCAGAAUAUCCAGGUUGCCCAGGUUCAGUAAGACAGGGCUCCCAGACCCUCUGGCUGGAUAAUACCUUUUUCACCAAGUCCCCCCCAUGUCUAGUAGCAUAGAAUUCUAGCGGCCAAGACCCUUUCUUCACCUUCACACCCUCCGCUCCUUUUGAAGUCACCUCCAAAUCCACCCUUCCUAGUGGAUACACCAGGUAGUUGACUGGAGGGCCUUCCGCCACCUCAAAAUGAGGAGCAUCCGUGUUUGUUUUUGUUUUUGUUUUUUUCUCCCCUGGCUGCCCCUUAAAUUUUCUUGGGGACAGCUGGUGCUGUUUAGAUCCCACGCCCUCCAAUCUAACCAGCCCCCCAAGAGAGGAGUGCACCCACGUUGUCACCAGUCCCCAGAUGUGAACAGGCCCCCUACAAGUCAGAGCGGAUCACAGCUUCCUGCUACAGGGCUUCCUCGUCCUCCCCGGGAUUGCCUAUAGCACCCCCUCUUCCUUUUCCCGACGCCCCUCAACCUGUCCUGUCCUGUUGAUCCGGCGACGGGUGGCGCUGGCUUCGGCUCCAGGCUCCUCCCUCCCUGUCCCCCG
Molecule: long non-coding RNA, 1018 nt
Filed under: Homo sapiens (human)
Lineage: Eukaryota; Metazoa; Chordata; Mammalia; Primates; Hominidae
Description: HSALNT0236729
Source: RNAcentral